GUUGGAACGACUGCUAUACCGGAUGUGCCCACGGGUGAAAGGCUUGCUGCCUGAAGAAGAGCUUGCGUCCGAUUAGCUAGUUGGUGAGGUAAAGGCUUACCAAGGCAUCGAUCGGUAGCUGGUCUGAGAGGAUGACCAGCCACACUGGGACUGAGACAAGGCCCAGACUCCUACGGGAGGCAGCAGUGGGGAAUUUUCCGCAAUGGGCGAAAGCCUGACGGAGCAAUACCGCGUGAGGGAAGAAGGCUCUUGGGUUGUAAACCUCUUUUCUCUGGGAAUAAAAAAAUGAAGGUACCUGAGGAAUAAGCAUCGGCUAACUCCGUGCCAGCAGCCGCGGUAAUACGGAGGAUGCAAGCGUUAUCCGGAAUGAUUGGGCGUAAAGCGUCCGCAGGUGGUACAACAAGUCUAGUGUCAAAGACCGGGGCUUAACUCCGGGAUGGCGGUGGAAACUGUUGAACUAGAGGGUCGUAGGGGUAGAGGGAAUUCCCAGUGUAGCGGUGAAAUGCGUAGAGAUUGGGAAGAACAUCGGCGGCGAAGGCGCUCUACUGGACGGCACCUGACCCUCAUGAACAAACGCUUCGGGAUCGUAUGCCAUUACAUACCCCUGUUUUCAACCCGUUACUCACCCGUCCGGG
This 635-nucleotide ribosomal RNA is filed under the name Geitlerinema sp. CALU1709. Its description in RNAcentral is "bacterial SSU rRNA". It matches the Rfam family "Bacterial small subunit ribosomal RNA", at positions 149 to 819 of the family's 1533-position model. Lineage: Bacteria; Bacillati; Cyanobacteriota; Cyanophyceae; Geitlerinematales; Geitlerinemataceae. The record is from RNAcentral.